UUCCGCCGCCGACCCGCGUGACGGGAGGCGGAGAGGACGUUCGGUGCGGGGCAGCUCAAUCGGGCGGAAGUAAUCCUGUGUAUCUAACUAUAUUAAAAGACCUUCUUCUUCAUUGAGGCUGAGGCAGGAGACUCUCCAUUUCCAAGCUGGGUUACAUGAUCAACCUCAACCCCAGAUGUCUUCGGCCUUUAUCCACCUUGGUUUCUAAGAGACGGACGGGGUCUCUCACUGGGACCAGGAGCUCAUUGGAUCAGCUACACACGCAGGCAGGAAGAUGCAGAGAUCUGCCUGUCUGUCAUCCUAGUGCUGGGAUUACAGUCAUACCAUUUCUGAAAUAGGUGGUAAAGACUGAACUUGGGUCCUCAUGGUUCUGUGGCAGGCACUUGAUCAAAUAAACUAUCACUCCAGCCCAUUUUACAGAACCUUGUAACAUCAGAAAGAAAAAGAAAGAAAGAAAGAAAGAAAAAAGCUUAUUCUAUGUCUUGUGUAUUGGUAUCAGCAGAAUCAGACCUUCCAGGUUUUUAGACCCCUCUCCCAUUUCCUUUUUAAAACUGUCACCUGUAGGUCUUGGUGCUGAGCAUUAGACCAUUGCCUCAUCCAUGCUGAGCAUGGGUGCUACUGCUGAACUGUCUCCCAAAGCUGCCCACUGCUGCUUUGUCUUGAGUAUGUUCUGCACUUUGGGUUAAACUCUAGAUAGUCCUUGAUUUGGAAGACUGGGGUUUACAAUGCUGUUCAUGAGAAAUAUACCUCCUGCGUGUUCCAAUGUAUUUUUUUCUCUCUCUUUAAAGAUAACCAUGUGUACAUAAAGAGAGACCCACUUCGUCUCUCUUCUCAGGGCAAAUGAGAAGCUAGUUUUGUCCCUGGGGGAAGUGGACCCAGAGAGACCUGUAACUGAUGUCAUUUGUGUGAGACAAAAUAAAUGUUACAGACAACUGUGACAUCACACUUCAGCACUCUUCAGUCACCUCUCUUUACUGAAUAACCCUCACUGCUUCAAACAGUCACAAGAUUCUCAACAUAUGGAACUAGAGGAAAAUGACCCCAACAGAGUCAAAAAUCCUUGGGGAGCUUGGGGAGAAAUGGGUAUUUCUCCUCCAAAUUGUCCUCUGACCUCCACAGGUGCACAGUGUCAUGCACACACAGACACAUACAAAUAAAUAAUUUAAAAACUUACCAGCAUGCUUUUAUUUAAAUCUGCUCAGUUGUUCAGAUUUAUGCCAAGAAUCGUUAAUUACUGUUCCCCCCCUUCCCCAGUGUCUAGUUAUAGUAGCCCAGGCUAACCUCAAACUUUCAGUCUUCCUACCUCAGUGUUCUGAAUUCUGGGAUUGUAGAUUACCUCUAUGACUGUCCUUGUUUCUCAAUCAUUUCCUAAUUUAAGGAAUCUGGAAGCCAGUUCUUAAGAACGUUAUAAACCAGAUAAACAAUGUAUGCCUUUAGUAGCACAACUACUAAAAACUCAGAUAUUGGGUUUCAACCUGAAUAUCAGAAAGCCAAACCACUAGAGAGCUCUUACCUCUAUGAAACCUUCAGACUGAAAAAGGGGCAAGUUCUUGUCUCAUCCUGCCUUAUAUUCCUCUUUGGUGCUGGCAUUAAAGGCAUG
Non-coding RNA from Myodes glareolus (Bank vole), 1600 nucleotides. The record is from RefSeq and is a predicted model, not a curated record. NCBI's taxonomy places the organism in Eukaryota, Metazoa, Chordata, Mammalia, Rodentia, Cricetidae.